Monodelphis domestica (gray short-tailed opossum) is the source of this 1962-nucleotide non-coding RNA. The record is from RefSeq and is a predicted model, not a curated record. Lineage: Eukaryota; Metazoa; Chordata; Mammalia; Didelphimorphia; Didelphidae.
UUUUGGCAGAGAAGUGGCUCUUGGCUGGCAGCAUCUUGGCAUGGCUGCAGCUAUUGUCUGAGUUUGGUGGUGAGAGUCCUUGACUGGGAGAAGCUUAGUAACCUAGUUCAGUUCCUCAAGUCAGCCUUUUAAGCAUCUAACUCAGCAGUUUGAAACCCAGCUGCAAGAUCAGGGAAGGACUUGUAGGUACAGGAACAAGGGCCAAAGGAAGUCUCACAGACUGGCAGAAGUCCCAGUAGAGAUCAGCAGCAGCACACAGGAAUAAGAAGAGGAAUAAUGGUUUAACCCACACUCAACCACUCCUCAGUAGGUGAAUCUGUUUGAAGGAAGAUCACCAACUCCCUGUCUCCUCCAGAGAAGCAAACUGCCUGCCUGAACUGCCUUCUUGAAAAGCUAGCUGAUGGCUGUCCUUGCAGGAGCUUGGCCUCUGGCCAAGCUCCAUCUUUAAUCUUUCUCUAUUCAUCUCUCUGACCUGUGUGGUAUUAAAUAUGGAUCUCUGGACUGGUAAAAGCCUUCAGAAGGGUCCUUUGAUCAGAGCUUAGCUGUGGUUCAUUGAUAAUUAAUAAAGACUCAUUCUGACCACCUCAUAUCUCUAAUUUGACUCCGUCAUCCCCCUCAUGGUAUCUAAAACUUCUAUCCUGUCUCUAUCUUCCUACCUUGAGGCUUCUCUCCCCUCUGAGAGAGCUUCAUCAAGACCCAAGGUAAGGAUUAAAUAAUAAUAAUAAAUAAAUAAAUAGAAUAACAGAAUUGAGAUCCAAAUGUCCAACAGCUACCGGAAUAAAAGGUGAAGCAGUUACAAGAGAAGUUUGAUCUUUAGGCAAGCUUUUCCAGAAUGUGAGUGAAGGGAAGUUAUAGGGGUUAUAUUCACACAGCUUGGCAGAAUAUUAACUUUUGCCAGCUUGACUAAGUCUUAAAAAUAGAAUUAAGAUCAAUUUUCAAUUAUCUACCCUUAAGGAGAUUAUAUUUUAAAGCGGAGACAAAAUAUGGAAAUCAGAACAUGAAAGAUAAUAUGGAGUAGGAAAUUAUUUGCAUACAGAUAAGAAAUUAAUGUGACUGUUGAAUAAUUAAAUACAUUAUGUCAACAUGGAAUCUGGAAACCCCCAACUUGUAGCCUAGUAAGAUCUGAUGAACCCCAAGUUUUAGGACUAGCUUGUGUAAAGGAUAAUUUUAGCAUUGUGACCUAAACUAUAUUAAUUAUUUGGUUGCCAUGGAUAUCCCAAAUAUAAAAAAAAUACCCAAGUCAGCUGGAAAUUUAUGGUAAUUUAAUUAAUAUAGUGGAAAAAAAUUAAGAAUAAGGGAGAAGUAAAGGAUGUAGGAUUUCUCCUGCCUGACUAGUGCCAGGGGGAAGAUUAGAGGCUCUAGGAAGGUAAGGUUUUGGAGAAUAAAGGAGGAAGGAAUCAGCCUGAACACCAAGAGGGCUCAGCCAAGAUGCCUGAAUAGAGACUAAUAGAAUUAGAGAAUGCUAGGUAUUAGCAUUGGAAAAGAAAGAGAGAGACACCUGGCCAAAGGCCAGGCCUCAGGUAAAGAUAGAGAGGCAAGAGAAAGGUGGUGAUAACAAACCUGUAGCUCCUCCAAGAAGAAGAAGAAAGAGAGAGAGAGAAGAAGAGGAGGAGCUGGCCACAGCUUCCCAAUUUAUUCUCUUUGAUACGCAAAUGAACUCAAUACAUAUUGAUAAGUUACAUGAUGCCUCAAUACCUAUCGAUGAGUUACAUAGUGUAUUGCCAUUGGAUAAUUGCAAAUCGCGACAAGGUGAAGGGUAGAGUUUUUAUCUGCAGGUGAGUGAGACAAAAGGAAGCAGGGUUCAGCCACGCUGGGAACCGAGUUCAUUGCCAUGUGCAGAAUGGCCAUGUGCCCAUUCACAAACCUUGUCUCUUUAUAAUACCUAUGGGCUAGACUGCUACAACAGCUCUGUGUGGAAGCCUUGAGGAAAGCACUGAACCCCUUUCCUUAAGUAAAGAGGGA